This 253-nucleotide ribosomal RNA is filed under the name uncultured bacterium. RNAcentral describes it as "partial 16S ribosomal RNA". It matches the Rfam family "Bacterial small subunit ribosomal RNA", at positions 524 to 776 of the family's 1533-position model. The record is from RNAcentral.
UACGAAGGGGGCUAGCGUUGUUCGGAAUUACUGGGCGUAAAGCGCGUGUAGGCGGGUCUUUAAGUCAGGGGUGAAAUGCCAAGGCUCAACCUUGGAACUGCCCUUGAUACUGGCGGUCUCGAGUCCGGGAGAGGUGAGUGGAACUGCGAGUGUAGAGGUGAAAUUCGUAGAUAUUCGCAAGAACACCAGUGGCGAAGGCGGCUCACUGGCCCGGUACUGACGCUGAGGUGCGAAAGCGUGGGGAGCAAACAGG